UACGAGGGGGGCGAGCGUUGUUCGGAAUUAUUGGGCGUAAAGGGUAGGUAGGUGGUCUUAUUUGUCUGGGGUGAAAGCCUUGAGCUUAACUCAAGAAGUGCCUCAGAAACGGUAAGACUGGAGUCCUGGAGAGGGUCGUGGAAUUCCCGGUGUAGCGGUGAAAUGCGUAGAGAUCGGGAGGAACACCAGAGGCGAAAGCGGCGACCUGGACAGGCACUGACACUCAACUACGAAAGCGUGGGGAGCAAACAGG
RNAcentral lists this ribosomal RNA (253 nucleotides) under uncultured bacterium. RNAcentral describes it as "partial 16S ribosomal RNA". It matches the Rfam family "Bacterial small subunit ribosomal RNA", at positions 524 to 776 of the family's 1533-position model. The record is from RNAcentral.